GACAGGCUUGAGAGCUAACAGCUGACGGUUGCUUCCGCUCAGAACGCUUGAGAACAGCUGACGGUUGCUUCGCUCAGAACGCCUGAGAGCUAACAGCUGACGGUUGUUUCCUUAAAGAGCUUGAAAGAAAUUGACAAAUCUGGAGAUCUCGGAGAGUUUCCCCUGUAAACAGCUGAACCCCGAAAAAUAGCCGUUGACAGCUCGGAGCAUCGGUUUUUUUUUUAGCUUGUUUGAUACACUUUUGGCUUGGAGGGCCAAAGAUUCCAAGACCCUCUUCUCCUGAACCUGGAUGGCGAGCCCCAGCCCAGAGGACCAGGCGCACGGGUAGAUAGUGACCCGACUGGUCACCAGCUGAGAGACUGAGACUGAACAAUUGACUCAUUGGAGACCGAAGUAUUCAAUUUAUUUAUUUAUUUAUUUUUUUUUUAA
Long non-coding RNA from Gambusia affinis (western mosquitofish), 429 nucleotides. RefSeq lists it as uncharacterized. Lineage: Eukaryota; Metazoa; Chordata; Actinopteri; Cyprinodontiformes; Poeciliidae. The record is from RefSeq and is a predicted model, not a curated record. The transcript is spliced from 3 exons.